AUCAACUUCGGGGCUUCGUCCAUUUGAGGACCUCAACUACAACCAAAGGCUUCCAAGCCUCGGGCCAUGGGCCUCGGUUAGAAGCAGCUCGGAUAUAACCCACCUCGACAAUAUGGGCCACCUCGGCAGGAAUGCCACGUGGAUCAGGAUGAGUGGGCCACUGGCCCAGGUGGGUAGGACAGGGGUGACAACACGCAACAAUAGUCCCCCAAGUCCAAGUAUAAUCAUUAAUGUAAUGCGUGGACUUUAGAGUAAAAA
This 258-nucleotide long non-coding RNA is filed under the name Olea europaea (common olive). RNAcentral describes it as "long non-coding RNA (OEUR_LNC001149)". The record is from RNAcentral. Lineage: Eukaryota; Viridiplantae; Streptophyta; Magnoliopsida; Lamiales; Oleaceae.